This is a long non-coding RNA of Pseudophryne corroboree (corroboree frog), 3302 nucleotides long. RefSeq lists it as uncharacterized. NCBI's taxonomy places the organism in Eukaryota, Metazoa, Chordata, Amphibia, Anura, Myobatrachidae. The transcript has 6 exons. The record is from RefSeq and is a predicted model, not a curated record.
CGCAUCGGCUGGUGAGUACCGGCCUUAAGAGUUUCCUAUUAUUGAUAAUUUUAUUAAAGUGGGCACAUUGCUGCACUGACUUGGCUUGAGGGACAUCCUCUACCGCGUGGUGGCUCCUACUUAUGGCUUCCUCCCUGGUGACUGCUGCUCUCCAGUGGUUGCUGCAGCGCUGGGGUUCUGUUCUGCUGAAUGUUCCUACUCGCUGGUCGCUUCUCUGCUGCUGGGGUCUUCCGUCUGCCCCAUUUUGAAUGCUGUAGCUUGUGUCUGUGAGGCCCUGGUGACUGCUGCUUAGUUUGCUGUUCCACUUCCACGCUCCUGUGAUGAUGGACACCCUGAUCUCCUUGAUGUCUACUGGUGUUAAGCCAUCAUCAUUCCCUUACCUGCUGUUUCUCAGGUCACACAGUCUCCUGUUCAGGGCUACUUUGUGAAGCCAGGCUCCUGAUACUUGCCUGCUGCAGCCUAGUUGUCUUUUUCUUGAACUGUUACUUUCACUUUGAUCUGGUAACCCCAGUCACCAGUUCAGUGCUAUUUUGUGGGGCCAGGCUCCUGAUACUUACCUGCUGCAGCCUGGUUGUCUUUUUCUUGAACUGUUUCUUUCACUUUGAUCUGGUAACCCCAGUCACCAGUUCAGUGCUACUCCGUGGAGUCAGGCUCCUGAUACUUACAUGCUGCAGCCUGUUUGUCUUUUGCGUGAACUGUUCCCUUCACUUUCUCGUCUGUUUCGCUGGCUCUCUAUCACUUCUAUUGAUUUGUUCACCCCAGUCUCUUGUUCAGGGCUACUCUGUUGAGUCAGGCUGCUGAUACUUACCUGCUGCAGUCUGGUUGUCCUUUGCAUGAACUGUUCCCUUCACUUUCUCAUCUGUCUCGCUGGCUCUCUAUCACAUCUGUUGAUUUCAGCACCCUAGUCUUCUGUUCAGAGCUACUCUGUGGAACUCACUUGUUUUCCUAUAUUGGCUGUACAUACUGACCAUGCUAUGGAACAGCUUUUUCUAGCAGUUUUUCACUGAGGAAACAGACUGAUAGCUCUGAUAGCUGAGUUAUCUGUGGCUUUCAUUUCAUGUCAAACUAUGCAGGAGAUUUAGGAUGGGGCUAGUGGGCCCGAGUAUUUUUCUUCUAUCCUAUAGGAAUGUGGUGUCUCUGUCCCUGACCAGUUGAUCUCCUUGGACUGGACAACAUUACGGCCCAGUCUUCUGGGAUGUUUUAGGUCACCUUUGCUGCAAUAGCUUUCACCUGGUUGAGCUUAUUGUUCCGAUUUAUAUUUUUAUAUUUUGUUUUGCUUUGAACGCAAUUGCAGUAUCACUAUUUGUUUGGUUCUGUCAAUUAAGCCCUUGUAUUUUACUUAAAAAAUAUCUUUCUAAUAUACAGAUGGGUCCAUGUUUAUCUUGACCUUUAAUAGGAUUAACUGAGACUGGGCAGUCGGACUUAUUCCCCUGCUGUAAUGACUUAAUCCCCUGCUGUAUUGUUCUCUGUAUUGUAUUGCAGCUGAGAACAAUAGAUGAAGGGUUUAUGUUAAUAAACCAUGUUGUGCCUAGGCGCAGCAAACUAGCCAAAAUAAUCGUGAACCCAUCUGUAUAUAGUUUUUCCACAGUAUAUUUUUGAUAUUUAUAUUUUUUAUAUUUAUAUAUUGUAUAUAUUUUAUAUUGAUAGCUCAUAUGUUUUUAGAUAUUAUUUUAUAUUUAUGUUUUUUCCCCACUAUAAAAUACGUGCACUUGCGAGGGGGCCUGGCUGCUAUUUGCUGUAAUCUGUUCUCUAUGUUUUGGUGACUAUGGUCAGUGUAUAUCUUGUUUGUUACUCUUUGUUAAUGAAUAUAUUUGUUUAUUAUACGCCAGUUCUCUAUAGCUAGGCUCUCAUUUGAGCGGCAAAGUAUGUUUGGUGCUGGGGUAUAGAUGCACAGCACUAUCCAUCACUGUAGAGUUGGGUUUCACAUUGUUCCUGCUAUUCUCCUGACUUCGUGUUGUGCGGGACUGAAUGGCGCCUUCAGGCAGCUGCUUUACUGCUGUUAUAUUGUAUUGUUAAAUUGGUGUCGGAUAGGGUAUUUGUGACUACGCCGUUUAUCACAUUUAUUAUACUUGAAGAUUUUACUUCCAAUAAUCCAAUUGUUUUAGUGUGAAAUCUCCCUGCCAACAGGAGAUAUUUAUGCAACACUGUGUGUAAUUUGUGUGUGUGUGUUAGCGAAUUUAGACUGUAAGCUCCUAUGGGGCAGGGACUGAUAUGGAUGACUUGUGUUCUCUAUACAGCACUGCGUUUUUGUGGUACUAUAUAAAGAAACCGUAAUAAAUAUUCAUGUCUAUCGGGAACAUAUUAUCGCGCCUCUAUCUUCUUUUUUCAGGUGGACCUUCUCUAUGAUUGAAUUGUGAGAUCAUCAGCGGAGUAAACUACAUUUCUGGGCUUCUGUGAGGUCAUCUUUACAACAAAGCAUAUAUUGAAGAUAGAACGUCAGGAGUAGCUGACCCAAGACAGGUGGACCUUCUCUAUGAUUGAAUUGUGAGAUCAUCAGCGGAGUAAACUACAUUUCUGGGCUUCUGUGAGGUCAUCUUUACAACAAAGCAUAUAUUGAAGAUAGAACGUCAGGAGUAGCUGACCCAAGACAGGUGGACCUUCUCUAUGAUUGAAUUGUGAGAUCAUCAGCGGAGUAAACUACAUUUCUGGGCUUCUGUGAGGUCAUCUUUACAACAAAGCAUAUAUUGAAGAUAGAACGUCAGGAGUAGCUGACCCAAGACAGGUGGACCUUCUCUAUGAUUGAAUUGUGAGAUCAUCAGCGGAGCAAACUACAUUUCUGGGCUUCUGUGAGGUCAUCUUUACAACAAAGCAUAUAUUGAAGAUAGAACGUCAGGAGUAGCUGACCCAAGACAGAUAUCACAAUCUUUAUAUUUCAUGGAGUGUAUAUCAGCAAUGGAGGAGGCUUUCCAUUCCAAGUCUCAUUUUACAGUUGGCAGUGAGAAUGUUGGAAGUGGAUAAAGGAUAGGAAUUUCCCAGGUCUUUCACUGCUCAGGGUGUAGCCUACCACAGUGGCUCUUAAUAUAAAUCAGACUUUUUACUAAACGGACAGUUUCCAAACAGCGCAGAAGCAGGACUCAGAAAUGUUGGCGCACUACCUGGACAUAAAUGAGCCAACAUUAUCACAUUAUCUCUAAAAUCUUGUAACUUUUUGGAGUGUGCACAUCAAACCCUCAAUUCACCAAGGACUCUCCAUUUGUUUGUAUGUAAGAAGAAACUAUUGGAAUAUUUAUGUUUUAUUUCAGUCUACACUGUAAAGCAAGUGACAGAGUGCAGUUUCAGUGAAUUAAAAAUAUAAAAAAAGA